CAGUCGCCGCGGUAAUACGUAGGUGGCAAGCGUUGUCCGGAAUUAUUGGGCGUAAAGGGCUCGCAGGCGGUUUCCUAAGUCUGAUGUGAAAGCCCCCGGCUCAACCGGGGAGGGUCAUUGGAAACUGGGAAACUUGAGUGCAGAAGAGGAGAGUGGAAUUCCACGUGUAGCGGUGAAAUGCGUAGAGAUGUGGAGGAACACCAGUGGCGAAGGCGACUCUCUGGUCUGUAACUGACGCUGAGGAGCGAAAGCGUGGGGAGCGAACAGGAUUAGAUACCCCGGUAGUCCCUGUCUCUUAUAC
Molecule: ribosomal RNA, 301 nt
Filed under: uncultured bacterium
Lineage: Bacteria
Description: partial 16S ribosomal RNA
Rfam family: Bacterial small subunit ribosomal RNA
Source: RNAcentral